Molecule: ribosomal RNA, 441 nt
Filed under: uncultured Nitrosospira sp.
Lineage: Bacteria; Pseudomonadati; Pseudomonadota; Betaproteobacteria; Nitrosomonadales; Nitrosomonadaceae
Description: bacterial SSU rRNA
Rfam family: Bacterial small subunit ribosomal RNA
Source: RNAcentral
CGCGCGGCGGGCGGGGCGGGGGCACGGGGGGAGGAAAGUAGGGGAUCGCAAGACCUCUCACUAUUGGAGCGGCCGAUGUCUGAUUAGCUAGUUGGCGGGGUAAAAGCCCACCAAGGCGACGAUCAGUAGCUGGUUUGAGAGAACGACCAGCCACACUGGGACUGAGACACGGCCCAGACUCCUACGGGAGGCAGCAGUGGGGAAUUUUGGACAAUGGGGGCAACCCUGAUCCAGCCAUGCCGCGUGCGGGAAGAAGGCCUUCGGGUUGUAAACCGCUUUUGUCAGGGAAGAAAUGGACUUUUCUAAUACAAGAGUUCGAUGACGGUACCUGGAGAAUAAGCACCGGCUAACUACGUGCCAGCAGCCGCGGUAAUACGUAGGGUGCAAGCGNNNAUCGGAAUUACUGGGCGUAAAGCGUGCGCAGGCGGUUUGCAAGUCAGA